This 528-nucleotide ribosomal RNA is filed under the name Salmonella enterica subsp. enterica serovar Enteritidis. RNAcentral's name for it is "partial 23S ribosomal RNA". It matches the Rfam family "Bacterial large subunit ribosomal RNA", at positions 71 to 639 of the family's 2925-position model. The record is from RNAcentral. Lineage: Bacteria; Pseudomonadati; Pseudomonadota; Gammaproteobacteria; Enterobacterales; Enterobacteriaceae.
AUAAGCGCCGGUAAGGUGAUAUGAACCGUUAUAACCGGCGAUACCCGAAUGGGGAAACCCAGUGUGAUUCGUCACACUAUCAUUAACUGAAUCCAUAGGUUAAUGAGGCGAACCGGGGGAACUGAAACAUCUAAGUACCCCGAGGAAAAGAAAUCAACCGAGAUUCCCCCAGUAGCGGCGAGCGAACGGGGAGGAGCCCAGAGCCUGAAUCAGCAUGUGUGUUAGUGGAAGCGUCUGGAAAGGCGCGCGAUACAGGGUGACAGCCCCGUACACAAAAGCGCAUGUGCUGUGAGCUCGAUGAGUAGGGCGGGACACGUGGUAUCCUGUCUGAAUAUGGGGGGACCAUCCUCCAAGGCUAAAUACUCCUGACUGACCGAUAGUGAACCAGUACCGUGAGGGAAAGGCGAAAAGAACCCCGGCGAGGGGAGUGAAAAAGAACCUGAAACCGUGUACGUACAAGCAGUGGGAGCACCCUUUGGGUGUGACUGCGUACCUUUUGUAUAAUGGGUCAGCGACUUAUAUUCUGUA